Molecule: ribosomal RNA, 469 nt
Filed under: uncultured bacterium
Lineage: Bacteria
Description: partial 16S ribosomal RNA
Rfam family: Bacterial small subunit ribosomal RNA
Source: RNAcentral
GACGAACGCUGGCGGCGUGCUUAACACAUGCAAGUCGAACGGAAAGGCCUCUUUCGUGGGGUACUCUCGUGUCGAGCGGGGGAGUAACACGUGAGUAACCUGUGCUUUUGUUUGUGAGAACUUCUGGGAAAUGGGGCGAAUACAGGGUAGGGGCUCCUCCGGCGUGGGGGGGGGGGGGAAGUGUCGGGGGGGGUGGGGGUGGUCUCGCGGUUUCUCAGUUUGUUUGUGGGGUAGUGGUGUCACAAGGCUUUGGGGGGUAGCCGGGCUGAGAGGGUGAGCGGGCACAAUGGGAAUGGGAUAAGGGCCAGACUCCUAAGGGAGGCAGCCGUGGGGAAUAUUGCAACAUGGGUGGAAGCCUGAUGCCGCCACGCCGUGGGCGGGAUGAAGGCCUUCGGGUUGUAAACCGCUUUCGCUCAUGAAGAAGCUUUGUGUGACGGUAGUGGGUAAAGAAGCACCGGCUAACUACGUG